This is a long non-coding RNA of Dermacentor albipictus, 1660 nucleotides long. RefSeq lists it as uncharacterized. NCBI's taxonomy places the organism in Eukaryota, Metazoa, Arthropoda, Arachnida, Ixodida, Ixodidae. The record is from RefSeq and is a predicted model, not a curated record.
GGAACCGUAAGCUGUCACCCCGCCGAUGGCCAUCGCUACCAGCUGACGCAGGCCUACGAGGGUGGAGCUGGCUAGGGCUCUCUCCGAAAGCUCAGGUGUUGUAGCGUCGACGGCAGUAAUAUUGAAAGAAGAUGCGAAUGGAAACCACAAGCUUUCACCACGUCGAUGGCCGUCUCUACCAGCUGAUACAGGCCUACGAGGGUGGAGCUAGCCAGGGCUCUCUCCCAAAGCUCAGAUGUGUGGUACGGAUUGGGUGUGCAAAGGGGUGACUCUGUGCAGUCGCCUACCAUGUGGUAAAGGGAGCCCUGUGCUCCACAAAAGUGACAAUGUUGAAAGGACGUGUUGGGGAUGAAUUGGUAUGUCCUAGUUGAGUGGGGGACGCUGUUGGCCUGGAGUUCCUCUCAGAUUGCGGUCCUGACCUUUGGCUAGCUUUUUGUGCGGGGAUAGGUAUGUUCCACGUUGCGACCUAUAGUGCAUGGUGACUGCAUGAUUAGAGACGAAAGGUUGAGGGUGCCAGGGCUCCACCGUUGGGCCAGGCGCUUGGUUAGGGAAACCACGAGUCGCGAGAUACGCCAUCUCGUUGCGUGCGAUGUUGGGAUGCGUUUGUGGCCACACGAUAUUUAUUGUACUCUUGGACGGCGGAAAGCAGGCGCUAGUUGCCUGGAGGUUAGGCAAAUUCUUCCCUAAGAGAAGUAGUGGCAUGCUUGUUGGGAGCCUGUUAUGACGGUGUCUACGGUCGUCUAUGCCAUCGACAAGGCGACUGCAACUUCCUCGGCGACGAUGGUUGUUGUUGAUCGAGAACGUUGGUGGGCGUUCUUGCCCAACAAUGACGGUGUAUGUGAAGCUUCUCGUGCCGGAGUAGAGGGCGGUGUCGUUGCAAGCGACUAGCAGAUGGCUGCCGGACUGCCUGGUGAUUACUUCAGCCCUUGCAGCCCUUCUUCCUGCUUUGUGGAUUGGGUGCAUGUUUCUUGGUAGUAUUUAAACCAGUAUCUGGUUCUGUACGCAUUGGGGCAGAGCGACCAUCAUUUGAGGUUGUUGCUGCAGCAGCGCGUUAAUGCCCAGUGUACCUAGAAUCGUUAUGCCCGUGCUCUUGAGAGAAAGUCAGACUAGUUGAUAGGUGAGGUUACAGUUCGGUGGGGUUGUCGAAUCCCAGCUUCAGCAGCUUGUCGUUACACGCACUGAGUGGUAAGCACAGAGCCCACUUGUAGGCUCUGCGCAGGAGAGUGUCCAUUUCCUUGAUGUCGGUGCAAGAGCGCCUACGGUAUGGCGCAGCGCGCCCUCCUUUCCCGUACCCCAUGAUUUCGAUAAUCUUCAACUGUGAUGCACAUAUAUUGAUUGGGGUCGUGGGGCACAAUUGUUUGCAAAACAUAGGUGAGUUCACAACGAACAAAAACAAUGAUUUUGCUUCAUGCACCAUUUGUUGAUGACAUGAUAAAUUCGCACCCUGGCAGUCGUAUUGGUUUCGACAAGUUGGGAUCCCAAACGACGAUGAGUGGAAACACAUUAGAGUACACAAACUGACGAAAAUCUGAAAUGCCUGAAUUUAGCACUCUGCCGUUCCACUGGAUGACUGACGUUGCCUUGACUUCUUUUCGGAAGGAUGGGGUAUGGGUAGCCAUCUUUCUAGUUGAGAGAUUCAAACACUGGGCUUAAGGCGUCC